This is a long non-coding RNA of Nannospalax galili (Upper Galilee mountains blind mole rat), 684 nucleotides long. RefSeq lists it as uncharacterized. The record is from RefSeq and is a predicted model, not a curated record. Lineage: Eukaryota; Metazoa; Chordata; Mammalia; Rodentia; Spalacidae. The transcript is spliced from 4 exons.
UCAGAUGCCAGGGACUCCAGACAGCUGCUGCUGAUUUCCUGUAUACUCUUAUGUUCAUAUAUACAACACACGAGCACAUAUAAUUAUUCUAAAAUCAAAGGGAAUCGGGCACACAGCCUGCUUGCACACAACAGAAGUGACAAAUGUGUGGGACAGGAAAGCUACUUCCAACCUGUGUGACCCCAGAAGUGAAGACCAGCCCAUCCUCACCCACACCACAGCCCACUGAGUAAACCCCAGUGUCAUCACACCCAGAUCAAGCAAGUUGAGACUUUCCGACUUCACAUAAAGAGGAUGGAAGUCCCUGUUCAACCGAAAUCACUUUCAGAAAAUGGAAAUUCAGAAAACAGAAUUUCAGUCAUCAUCAGCUCUUCACAUUAAGGGUUUGAAGUCUCAGAGGGAGCAAAUGAAGUAGAAUUUUAAAAGGAAAUAAAGACAGAAAAAUGGAAACUGAUGAUUUUUUCCAUGAAUGAAAUCCAUGUCACUUGGAAGAUUGAAGGAAUCCUAGGAUUAACUGAGGUCUCCGAUUAUUUUAGAGAAAAGUUGCCUCAAACGCCUUUCUAGGGUUUGUCUUUGUGGGUAUGAUGGGUAAUUGGGAUUUUGGGGUGACACUCAGUUUUUAUUACUGAUUGGCUACCUGCAAUCUUUAAUUCUUACUGAAGCUAUACAUAGCUUCAUUGUAGC